RNAcentral lists this ribosomal RNA (449 nucleotides) under uncultured bacterium. RNAcentral describes it as "partial 16S ribosomal RNA". It matches the Rfam family "Bacterial small subunit ribosomal RNA", at positions 29 to 523 of the family's 1533-position model. The record is from RNAcentral.
AGCGAACGCUGGCGGCAGGCCUAACACAUGCGAGUCGAACGGAUCUUUCGGGAUUAGUGGCGGACGGGUGAGUAACACGUGGGAACGUGCCCUUUGGUUCGGAACAACUCAGGGAAACUUGAGCUAAUACCGGAUGUGCCCUUCGGGGGAAAGAUUUAUCGCCAUUGGAGCGGCCCGCGUCUGAUUAGCUAGUUGGUGAGGUAAAGGAUCACCAAGGCGACGAUCAGUAGCUGGUCUGAGAGGAUGAUCAGCCACAUUGGGACUGAGACACGGACCAAACUCUUACGGGAGGCAGCAGUGGGGAAUCUUGCGCAAUGGGCGAAAUCCUGACGCAGCCAUGCCGCGUGAAUGAUGAAGGUCUUAGGAUUGUAAAAUUCUUUCACCGGGGACGAUAAUGACGGUACCCGGAGAAGAAGCCCCGGCUAACUUCGUGCCAGCAGCCGCAGUAA